GACUUCGUAGCUCAGUUGGUAGAGCAAAUGACUCUUAAUCAUUGGGUCGAGGGUUCGAUUCCCUCCGAGGUCA
This 73-nucleotide transfer RNA is filed under the name Bacteroidales bacterium. RNAcentral describes it as "tRNA-Lys". It matches the Rfam family "tRNA". Rfam says of the family: Transfer RNA (tRNA) molecules are approximately 80 nucleotides in length. Their secondary structure includes four short double-helical elements and three loops (D, anti-codon, and T loops). The record is from RNAcentral. Lineage: Bacteria; Pseudomonadati; Bacteroidota; Bacteroidia; Bacteroidales.